Molecule: ribosomal RNA, 322 nt
Filed under: uncultured eukaryote
Lineage: Eukaryota
Description: partial 18S ribosomal RNA
Rfam family: Eukaryotic small subunit ribosomal RNA
Source: RNAcentral
CCCUUAGAUGUUCUGGGCCGCACGCGUGCUACACUGAGUGGAUCAGCGGGUCAGGUUGCGCGAAAGUGUUUCCUAAUCUUUAAAUCCGCUCGUGAUGGGGAUUGACGGUUGCAAUUUUCCGUCAUGAACGAGGAAUACCUUGUAAGCGCGGGUCAUCAUCCCGCGCUGAAUACGUCCCUGCCCUUUGUACACACCGCCCGUCGCUCCUACCGAUUGAGUGGUCCGGUGAGGCUUUGGGAUCUGAGCGGAAAGAGCGUUUCGCUGUUUCUGCCCGGAAAACUCAGUCGAACCUUAUCAUUUAGAGGAAGGAGAAGUGGUAACA